UACGUAGGGUGCGAGCGUUGUCCGGAAUUAUUGGGCGUAAAGAGCUCGUAGGCGGUUUGUUGCGUCGGCCGUGAAAACUUGGGGCUUAACCCCGAGCCUGCGGUCGAUACGGGCAGACUUGAGUUCGGCAGGGGAGACUGGAAUUCCUGGUGUAGCGGUGAAAUGCGCAGAUAUCAGGAGGAACACCGGUGGCGAAGGCGGGUCUCUGGGCCGAUACUGACGCUGAGACGCGAAAGCGUGGGGAGCGAACAGG
This 253-nucleotide ribosomal RNA is filed under the name uncultured bacterium. RNAcentral describes it as "partial 16S ribosomal RNA". It matches the Rfam family "Bacterial small subunit ribosomal RNA", at positions 524 to 776 of the family's 1533-position model. The record is from RNAcentral.